UACGUAGGGUGCAAGCGUUGUCCGGAAUUAUUGGGCGUAAAGGGCUCGUAGGCGGUCCGUCACGUCGGGAGUGAAAACUUGGGGCUUAACCCCAAGCCUGCUUCCGAUACGGGCGGACUAGAGGUAGGCAGGGGGAGAACGGAAUUCCUGGUGUAGCGGUGAAAUGCGCAGAUAUCAGGAGGAACACCGGUGGCGAAGGCGGUUCUCUGGGCCUUACCUGACGCUGAGGAGCGAAAGCGUGGGGGAGCAAACAGG
RNAcentral lists this ribosomal RNA (255 nucleotides) under uncultured bacterium. RNAcentral describes it as "partial 16S ribosomal RNA". It matches the Rfam family "Bacterial small subunit ribosomal RNA", at positions 524 to 776 of the family's 1533-position model. The record is from RNAcentral.